RNAcentral lists this ribosomal RNA (100 nucleotides) under Paraclostridium sordellii. RNAcentral's name for it is "partial 16S ribosomal RNA". It matches the Rfam family "Bacterial small subunit ribosomal RNA", at positions 1 to 109 of the family's 1533-position model. RNAcentral also lists the same sequence under 1 other name. The record is from RNAcentral. Lineage: Bacteria; Bacillati; Bacillota; Clostridia; Peptostreptococcales; Peptostreptococcaceae.
AUAUUUGAGAGUUUGAUCCUGGCUCAGGAUGAACGCUGGCGGCGUGCCUAACACAUGCAAGUCGAGCGAUUCUCUUCGGAGAAGAGCGGCGGACGGGUGA